This 402-nucleotide ribosomal RNA is filed under the name uncultured bacterium. RNAcentral's name for it is "bacterial SSU rRNA". It matches the Rfam family "Bacterial small subunit ribosomal RNA", at positions 29 to 430 of the family's 1533-position model. The record is from RNAcentral.
AUUGAACGCUGGCGGCGUGCUUAACACAUGCAAGUCGAUCGGUAACAGGUGUAGCAAUACAUGCUGACGAGAGGCGGACGGGUGAGUAAUGCUUGGGAAUCUGCCUAUUAGUGGGGGACAACCCGGGAAACGUCGGCUAAUACCGCAUACGCUCUACGGAGGAAAGCCGGGACCGCAAGGCCUGGCGCUAAUAGAUGAGCCCAAGUCGGAUUAGCUAGUUGGUAGGGAACGGCCUACCAAGGCGACAAUCCGUAGCUGGUCUGAGAGGACGACCAGCCACACCGGAACUGAGACACGGUCCGGACUCCUACGGGAGGGCAGCAGUGGGGAAGUAUUGGACAAUGGGGCGAACCCUCGAUCCAGCGACGCCGCGUGGGUGAAGAAGGCCUGCGGGUUGUAAAG